Fundulus heteroclitus (mummichog) is the source of this 1348-nucleotide long non-coding RNA. RefSeq lists it as uncharacterized. The record is from RefSeq and is a predicted model, not a curated record. The transcript is spliced from 5 exons. Lineage: Eukaryota; Metazoa; Chordata; Actinopteri; Cyprinodontiformes; Fundulidae.
UUUUUCAAAAAAGAGAGAAAACAUUUUCAGAGUUUAAGCGCUGCAUCCAGUUUGAAACAACCCCCUAAACGCGUCCUUUAUGCUUUAGAUAGAGCUUCCAAAACAGCCCUUGUUUUGGGGUCACGUCUUUUCAACGAAACCGAAAGGAUUAAGCCGAGUGAUUUAUUGCAAAAGUUUUCCUCGACUUGAUCGGACAGGAGUUUGGUGAAACCCUAAGCCCAUCGCCAACCAUCCAUGACGGGGAAGGAAAUAGGAGCUUUGGUGAUGUUGGAAACAACGGCGCACCACGCUGGACCGCUCACGGCGACAGCAUUAACCUCUGCACUGUAGGAAGAGCAAAAAUACCGAAGAAGAGGAAGAAGGGAAGGGGAAAAAAAGCAGGUUCGGUUACAAUGAGUUCUGCCGAAUCCUAGUUCCCGACAGAGAUGGGUUUGCUCGUCUGAGGAUCCCGCAGAAGAUCAUGAUAAAUGGUAAGCGCAGUGGUGCGCAUUUACGCAGCGGUGUCUGACCGGAUCUUUGCUCCGUAAUGUCCUGUUGGUUCUCGUUUUGGCCAACUGUUGUGGUAAACGUAGAUGUAACUAUAAAGAAAUACUGGACUCCUACAAAGAGGUCAUCUUCGUCGAGCUGCAAAAUCUGAAUUUGACUGGAUCAGCCACUACAUUCAAAGGGAGAGACUCUUGUCCCUCAGGAAAAGAAGGUCGCAUCUUGGUGUCCAUCUAUGGUAUGACGAAGCAGAUAUUGUGCCAGAGGGGUGGCAAGCAGCUUGACCUGGAAAGGCCAGUUGAGAGCAUGGAGCAGCUUAUCAUUCAAAACUGCAAUACUAAUUACAUGGCAAAGAAAACCUCAUGUUCAGCUGUCAGAAAAAUACAAGGCAAAAAGAGGAAGAGAUUGAGGUUUAUCAGACUUAUAAAGAUGCUGAUCACUUGUUGGGAGAAACUUCAGAGUGCCCAUGUUCUCUCUAAUUAGGAUAAACGGUGCUGCCCUUUCAUGAAGAUACCAGUUAACUUGCAAGAAUGUUCACUGCACCGCUACAAAACCCGAUAACCUAUUUUUUUUAUGCACAGCUCUUUUUCUAAUGCAAUACCAUGAAUGUUUACUCUUGCUGUUAAGUUCUCAGUGUUUUGUGUAUUAAAUCUUCUUGACUUGUGUGUGCAGCCCUGCUCCUCAUUAUGUUAGAGUUUCAUCAUAACCACAGAUAAGCUAAAAAUAUCCAAAGUGCAUUCAAAUACUUUAAGAACAAGCACAUUGCCAAGGUCUCUCCGGAUGUAACAACAUUUAUGUAUCAUGUAAGCCACAUUUCACUGUAACCACAACUUUAUACCACAUAAUAAAAAUGCUAAAUACUUGC